CAGGCAGAACAGGCAGCCGCCGCGUGGCAACACGGGGAGGAAAGUCCGGGCUGCACAGGGCAGGAUGCCAGCUAACGGCUGGGCGCGGUAACGCGACGGAAAGUGAAACAGAAAGCUAAACCGCCGACGGCUUCCGUAAGGAAGAUUCGGGCAAGGGUGAAAAGGUGCGGUAAGAGCGCACCGUGCCUCUGGUAACAGGGUGCAGCAGGUUAAACCCCAUCCGCAGCAAGACCAAACAGAACGCAUUGACGCGGCCCGCCGAGCGUUCGGGUAGGUUGCUUGAGCAUAUCGGCAACGGUAUGCCUAGAGGAAUGGCUGUCCGCGACAGAACCCGGCUUAUCGUUUUGCCUGCACC
This 355-nucleotide RNase P RNA is filed under the name Conchiformibius steedae. RNAcentral describes it as "Bacterial RNase P class A". It matches the Rfam family "Bacterial RNase P class A". Rfam says of the family: Ribonuclease P (RNase P) is a ubiquitous endoribonuclease, found in archaea, bacteria and eukarya as well as chloroplasts and mitochondria. Its best characterised activity is the generation of mature 5'-ends of tRNAs by cleaving the 5'-leader elements of precursor-tRNAs. Cellular RNase Ps are ribonucleoproteins. The record is from Rfam by way of RNAcentral. Lineage: Bacteria; Pseudomonadati; Pseudomonadota; Betaproteobacteria; Neisseriales; Neisseriaceae.